Molecule: transfer RNA, 73 nt
Filed under: Paramuricea clavata
Lineage: Eukaryota; Metazoa; Cnidaria; Anthozoa; Malacalcyonacea; Plexauridae
Rfam family: tRNA
About the family: Transfer RNA (tRNA) molecules are approximately 80 nucleotides in length. Their secondary structure includes four short double-helical elements and three loops (D, anti-codon, and T loops).
Source: Rfam by way of RNAcentral
GACCGCGUAGCUCAGUUGGAAGAGCAUUGGGCUAGUAUUCCAAAGGUCGUAGGUUCGAAUCCAACCGUGGCCG